UGAAUACGAGACGCUAAGGCGUCGAAGUAGUGUAUGUCAUACUUCCAAGAAAAGCUUGCACUGUCAUAGAUAAAAAACGCCUGUACCAUAACCGACACAGGUGGGUAGGUAGAGUAUACUAAGGGGCGCGAGAUAACUCUCUCUAAGGAACUCGGCAAAAUGACUCCGUAACUUCGGGAGAAGGAGUGCCUUAUUCUUAAGGUUGCAAUAACAAGAUCCAAGCAACUGUUUAUCAAAAACACAGGUCUCCGCUAAGUCGUAAGACGAUGUAUGGGGGCUGACGCCUGCCCAGUGCCAGAAGGUUAAAGAAGUUGGUUAGCAUUUGCGAAGCUGAUAACUGAAGCCCUGGUGAACGGCGGCCGUAACAAUAACGGUCCUAAGGUAGCGAAAUUCCUUGUCGGGUAAGUUCCGACCCGCACGAAAGGCGUAAUGAUUUGGAUACUGUCUCGGAGAGGGGCUCGGUGAAAUAGACUUGUCUGUGAAGAUGCGGACUACCUGCACCAGGACAGAAAGACCCUAUGAAGCUUUACUGUAACUUGAAAUUGAAAUUGGACUUUAUUCGCGCAGUAUAGGUGGGAGGCGUUGAUUAUAAUCUUGCGGGAUUAUUGGAGCCAUCAGUGAGAUACCACCCUUGUAAUGUUAGAUUUCUAACUUUGAAUCAUUAUCUGGUCAAAGAACAGUUUCAGGCGGGCAGUUUGACUGGGGCGGUCGCCUCCUAAACGGUAACGGAGGCGUACAAAGGUUUCCUCUGAACGGUUAGAAAUCGUAUCUAGAGUGUAAAGGCAUAAGGAAGCUUGACUGUGAGACCUACAAGUCGAGCAGGGACGAAAGUCGGUCUUAGUGAUCUGACGGUACUGAGUGGAAAGGCCGUCACUCAACGGAUAAAAGUUACUCUAGGAUAACAGGCUGAUCUCCCCCAAGAGUUCACAUCGACGGGGAGGUUUGGCACCUCGAUGUCGGCUCAUCGCAUCCUGGGGCGGUAGUACGUCCCAAGGGUUGGGCUGUUCGCCCAUGAAAGCGGUACGCGAGCUGGGUUCAGAACGUCGUGAGACAGUUCGGUCCAUAUCCGGAGUAGGCGUUAGAAUAUUGAGAGGAGCCUUCUUUAGUAUGAGAGGACCGAGAAGGACAUACCUCUGGUGUACCAGUUAUCGUGCCAACGGUAAACGCUGGGUAGCUAUGUAUGGAGUGGAUAACCGCUGAAAGCAUCUAAGUGGGAAGCCCACCUCAAGAUAAGUAUUCUCAUC
This 1244-nucleotide ribosomal RNA is filed under the name metagenome. Its description in RNAcentral is "bacterial LSU rRNA". It matches the Rfam family "Bacterial large subunit ribosomal RNA", at positions 1564 to 2818 of the family's 2925-position model. The record is from RNAcentral.